Molecule: long non-coding RNA, 807 nt
Organism: Daphnia carinata
Lineage: Eukaryota; Metazoa; Arthropoda; Branchiopoda; Diplostraca; Daphniidae
Exons: 3
Source: RefSeq, a predicted model, not a curated record
CUCGACAGUUUGCGAGCUGCUCGUCUUAAGCAACUGACUCGACUUGAUUCGUUUAAGUUAACAUUACUUAGAAAUAAGAAAUGCGUCUCAUUAUAUCUAUCGCAAUUUUGUUUGCUGCUUGCGCGGCUAUGACAAAAGCUGAAAACUACAGGUAUAAUGCCGUAGACGCAAGAGUUUUAUUCAAACCGAAGAUUUCCCUGACGACGCAAACGACCACGACUACGUCAACUUUUGUUGUUUCUUGUACAAAAUCCACUACGGCCUGCGCAGCACCGGCACCGGCACCAGCACCAGCACCGGCACCGGCACCAGCACCGGGUCCGGCUUUUCUUCUUCGUGGUCGAAGAGGAAAAAAUGAAAACGAAGAACAAUUUCCUGUCCACCCCACUCCUGUCCAAGGACUUGAAGCUACCGCAGUGCCAAAUCGAGAGGAAAGGGCUGCAGAUCCACAGUAUGCCAUGUCUCCACUUUCCUACUACGGUCAAGAGAUCCAAUCUGGUAUAAAUACCAACCCAUUCAACUAUCACUCCAUUUCUCUCCGCGAUGAUUCAUAUCCACAACCUGCAUUUGGACAGCAACGCAUUUUUGGAGUCAACCUCAAUGGAAAUCCAGCAGCUUCUUUCUUCGGAAGCCCAAAUUUUUUUCCUGCUCUCCCAGGAGUUGUGUACACUUUUACGUCAACAUUUACCAUAACGAGCUUUACGGUCACUACAUCCACCUCGACCCCAGCUUGUUCUACGCCGGGGUUUUUACAGUGCCCAUAAGAAAAGCUAAUUGGGACAUUUGAGGAGGUCUUGUCAAAACGGC